CCCUUAGAUGUUCUGGGCCGCACGCGCGCUACACUGACGCAUUCAACGAGUCUCCUUGGCCGAGAGGCCUGGGUAAUCUUGUGAACGUGUGUCGUGAUAGGGAUAGAUUAUUGCAAUUAUUAAUCUUGAACGAGGAAUUCCUAGUAAACGCAGAUCAUCAAUCUGCAUUGAUUACGUCCCUGCCCUUUGUACACACCGCCCGUCGCACCUACCGAUUGGAUGGUCCGGUGAGGCCUCGGGAUUGUGGCCGGUGCAUUCAUUUGUGUCGGUUGCGAGAACUUGUCCAAACCUUAUCAUCUAGAGGAAGGUGAAGUCGUANCA
Molecule: ribosomal RNA, 321 nt
Filed under: uncultured eukaryote
Lineage: Eukaryota
Description: partial 18S ribosomal RNA
Rfam family: Eukaryotic small subunit ribosomal RNA
Source: RNAcentral